UAGCAUUGUACAGUGGCCUUUGGUUUUCUUGUAACCAGUUAGGUCUGAAAGCAAUGCAAAAGAAAUUUCCUUUUUCCACGAGAAACAUCCCUAUAGUGGGUUGUUCCUAUCGACAGGAGGUUACACAU
Molecule: small nucleolar RNA, 128 nt
Organism: Fukomys damarensis (Damara mole-rat)
Lineage: Eukaryota; Metazoa; Chordata; Mammalia; Rodentia; Bathyergidae
Source: Ensembl